GACGAACGCUGGCGGCGUGCUUAACACAUGCAAGUCGAACGAUGAACCCGGAGCUUGCUCCGGCGGAUUAGUGGCGAACGGGUGAGUAACACGUGAGUAACCUGCCCUUGACUCUGGGAUAACUGCGAGAAAUGGUAGCUAAUACCGGAUACGACCCUCGGUGGCAUCACCAGGGGGUGGAAAGAAUUUCGGUCAAGGAUGGACUCGCGGCCUAUCAGCUAGUUGGUGAGGUAACGGCUCACCAAGGCGACGACGGGUAGCGGGUCUGAGAGGAUGACCAGCCUCACUGGGACUGAGACACAGCCCAGACUCCUACGGGGGGCAGCAGUGGGGAAUAUUGGACAAUGGGCGCAAGCCUGAUCCAGCCAUGCCGCGUGGGUGAUGAAGGCCCUAGGGUUGUAAAGCCCUUUCAGCGGGGAAGAUAAUGACGGUACCCGCAGAAGAAGCCCCGGCUAACUUCGUGCCAGCAGCCGCCGUAA
RNAcentral lists this ribosomal RNA (479 nucleotides) under uncultured bacterium. RNAcentral's name for it is "partial 16S ribosomal RNA". It matches the Rfam family "Bacterial small subunit ribosomal RNA", at positions 28 to 523 of the family's 1533-position model. The record is from RNAcentral.